Molecule: ribosomal RNA, 253 nt
Filed under: uncultured bacterium
Lineage: Bacteria
Description: partial 16S ribosomal RNA
Rfam family: Bacterial small subunit ribosomal RNA
Source: RNAcentral
UACGGAGGGGGCUAGCGUUGUUCGGAAUUACUGGGCGUAAAGCGCGCGUAGGCGGCUUUGUAAGUCAGAGGUGAAAGCCUGGAGCUCAACUCCAGAACUGCCUUUGAAACUACAUCGCUAGAAUCAUGGAGAGGUUAGUGGAAUUCCGAGUGUAGAGGUGAAAUUCGUAGAUAUUCGGAAGAACACCAGUGGCGAAGGCGGCUCACUGGCCCGAUACUGACGCUGAGGCACGAAAGCGUGGGGAGCAAACAGG